CUGAGUUAGUUCCAAACUCAAUCCAUAAGAUUUAAUAUGCUAAAUAUUGAAAUUAUUUUGCAUCAACUUAAAAAGAAAC
Canis lupus familiaris (dog) is the source of this 79-nucleotide non-coding RNA. The record is from Rfam. NCBI's taxonomy places the organism in Eukaryota, Metazoa, Chordata, Mammalia, Carnivora, Canidae.